ACCUUCCUGCAUUAGACUUUGUGAUGCAAUCCCUCUAAGGUGAUAGUUUCCAUGAUGUGUAUCUGAGUAAAAGUUGCUUCAUUUCUAAUUGAGUAGCAGCUAGAUAACAGACUUCUCUUCGUUAAGAUCAUUAAUCGUAUAUUUAAUGGACUUAAAGGUGCCACCUGCAGAAAAGAAGACACGGUUAGAAGCCAAAAUUCAAAAAGAAUUAACUAGGACGAUUUACCCUAGAACCUCCAUUACCCGGGACAGAUUCAAUACUUCUAAUAAUGGCUUUGUGGCAUCAACUUUGGCGUCAAAUCAUGAGAAUAAACAAUUGAGGCCUUGAGGAUUCUUAACAACGGAACAGGAGAAGCGUGCUCAUCAGUGAAGGAGGCCGAUAGCCAUGUUGAGCCUGUCGAACAUAUUCAACUUGCUAUCUACCAAUGAAAGAGGUAAUAGUCAAUUACGUAGUGCAAUCUAUCAAUAAACUUCUUUUGUCUUAGAAACAAGAGUAAAAUGUGCACCAAUUCAUCUGAAAAUUUAUCACCUUUAGGUAAGUUUUGAGGCAUGACAAAGGCAUCCUAUGACCCUUAGGUGUGCCAAUCUAGGCUCCUUACAAUACAAUAAUUCAUAUGAAGUCUUGUAGCCUAGAACUAAAUAUGGCAAUCUGUUCAUCAAGUACACUUAAGCCUUAAUACAAAAACCCCAAAAUGUAAUAGUAGUUUUGACUGAAAUCGGAUAGCUUUGGUAAUCUCUAGAAUUUGACUAUGCUUCAUCUCCACAGUGUCAUUCUGCUGUGGAGUAUAAGGACAACUACUUUGAUGCAAUAUGUCAUGGAGUUGAAAUAACUCAAUAGUUUGAUGAUUAAAAAACUCAGUACCAUUGUCUGAUCUCACAACCUUAACAUGAGAGUCAAAUUGAGACUUGAUCAUCAACAGGAAAAAUUUAAUGGCAACAAUAGUUUCAGAUUUUAAUGACAACAGAUAAACCCAUACAAAUCUACUAUGAUCAUCUACAAGAAAAUAAUGUUUCUUGUCAAUGGUAGGGACUUGAAAUGGUCCCCAUAGAUCCACGUGAACAACCUCAAUCAUAGUAGAUGCUCUAGAAGUACUAGAAGGGAAAGGGAGUUUAGCUUGUUUAGCUAGGGGACACAAACAGGACAAUUAUUGAGAAUUUCACAAUCAUUCCUGCAAUCCAUCAACUUGAAUGCCACGGCUAGACAUCAGGUAUUGUCACAUUGGCUCUUAUUGUUCCCUUUGAGUUAUUACCGUCCUUAUUCAGAUGCUUUAGCACAGUCUCAGUUUUGAAGAUGUACAAUUCCCCAUUCUCCGUACCAACCCCCCUCACUCUGCCACUCAAGAGGACCUGGAAGACACAAAAGUCAGGGUAGAAGGAAAUGGUAUGUUUUGUAGAGUAUUGUUGUCCAUGUAAUGAACUUUCUAAAAAUGAACAGGGCUUUAUGAUUGAUCGUCACAGUCUGAGUAGGUGAGACUUUAGUCCUUACUGUUGAAAAAAAAUCUUAAUGUUGCAUCUGGGGUUAGUUGUCUGAGUAUUUUAGCUUUACUUGGAUGGUGUUUGGUGGCACUUGGUGGAAACAGUAGCAAGAGUGAUAACCGCCAUAGUGUCCGAGCGAGCUUUCAAGUACCUCGACUAAAUUAAAGUGAUACCUGCUACCUCCUACCAGGAGCAAAUAUCAUGUAAUUUUGUCCACCAGAGCUAGGACAGAGAACGGGGUGGGGUGAUAGGACACCAAAUUAUUGAUUUUAAAGAGAAAUGACCAAAAAUAUGUUUGAACAUUUUUACAAAAGCAUUGAGACAUGAUACAAGACUAAGUGUGUAUCAAGGGAUUCCAACCAACAUAAGAACAACAAGAUGAACAACAAAGUGCCAGUGAAUCGAAAAAUGGCCACACACGGCUUCACUAGGCUUGCAACACUUGUUUUGAACGAGAAAAAUGAUUUUAACAGCAAUAACAACAAAGACAAUAUUGCUGGUGAAUUUAAAGAGCACCACACGGCUUCACUAGACAUUUAGAUUCAACAACACAAUGUUACCAAGAUUUGCAAAAAAAGAGAUAGAAACUUCACACACAAUAUUCAACUUGACACACAAUAUUCAUUCAUCUAAGAACCCUAACAAGAAAAAGGACCCUAAGACUAAUGAAUAUCAAUACCAAGUUCUUACUUGGACCAAGAGGAACUCAAAGAACCCCAAGAACCUAGUUUCUAGCCAAGAUACAACACUACUAUCACUCUACUAGUGAGAUUCGAUUUUGGCCUCUCCAAAUGAGAAAGAGAAGUCAAAAAUAUUACAAGUCUUUUUGUCUUCUAUGAUAUGAAUAAACUAACUAAAAGACUAGCCCUAAUAAAUGGCUUAUAUAGUCAAUUACAAAGGAGGGCAAAAGACCAAAAUACCCUUGACAUUAAGUAGGUGGGUUUAGGGUGUUUUGUUGGGCCUCUUCACACUUUAAUAAGUAUAGGCCCUUAGAUGGGCUCACAAGGGCCUCACACACGGCCAAGGAUGUGAACAAGGCUUGAAGUCAUUGCAACUCACGCGCUUGACUUCGUGUGAAAGGUCUCGAGCUAGGAAUUCCCAUAUCAAGACACAGGGUAUAACAUGUAGCAUUCAGGGUCAAGUUGGCAAUAUUUCCUUUUUCCAAUUUCAGAAAAGUCACUUAUCUGUGUUAUUUCCUUCAAAAAGUUAUUCAUGCACUUUGGUGUACAAAAUUAAUGUUCAAAAUUUCGAACCAAAAAUUAUCCUUUCAAAAGCUCAUUCAUGCACAUAAUUGCUUUUAUUGGUAUAUCGAGAGCUCCUCCAUGUAUUAUUCAACAUCAAACGGAUAUCGGAUUCCUCUUGGAUGAUUUAAGCAGAUGCCAUAGUGAAUAACUCUUGAGCGAUAGAUUCUUGAUGUCUAUCCGAACCUUCCUGCAUUAGACUUUGUGAUGCAAUCCCUCUAAGGUGAUAGUUUCCAUGAUAUGUAUCUGAGUAAAAGUUGCUUCAUUUCUAAUUGCGUAGCUCUAGAUAACAAACUUCUCUUCAUUAAACUCACCGAUCCUAUAUUUAAUGGACUUAAAGGGGUCACCUGCAGAAUUUAACCUAGUAACUCCAUUACCCCGGACAGAUUCAGUACUUCUAAUAAUGGCUUUGUGACAUCAACUUUGGCAUCAAAUUGUGAGAAUAAACAAUGGAGGCCUUGAGUAUUCUUGACAAAGGAAUAGGAGAAGUGUGCUCAUCGGUGAGGGAGGCCUUGAGUACCUCUUAUUGCAUUGGACUUUCUCGGUAACUUUACUACCUACAGAGGUUUCACAUUGUUUGUGAUGAUGGUAUUUCUUUUG
Molecule: long non-coding RNA, 3317 nt
Filed under: Capsicum annuum
Lineage: Eukaryota; Viridiplantae; Streptophyta; Magnoliopsida; Solanales; Solanaceae
Description: long non-coding RNA (CANN_LNC010667)
Source: RNAcentral